AUUGAACGCUGGCGGCAGGCUUAACACAUGCAAGUCGAGCGGGGAAAGGUAGCUUGCUACUUAACCUAGCGGCGGACGGGUGAGUAAUGCUUAGGAAUCUGCCUAUUAGUGGGGGACAACAUCUCGAAAGGGAUGCUAAUACCGCAUACGUCCGACGGGAGAAAGCAGGGGACCUUCGGGCCUUGCGCUAAUAGAUGAGCCGAAGUCGGAUUAGCUAGUUGGUGGGGUAAAGGCCUACCAAGGCGACGAUCUGUAGCGGGUCUGAGAGGAUGAUCCGCCACACUGGGACUGAGACACGGCCCAGACUCCUACGGGAGGCAGCAGUGGGGAAUAUUGGACAAUGGGGGGAACCCUGAUCCAGCCAUGCCGCGUGUGUGAAGAAGGCCUUUUGGUUGUAAAGCACUUUAAGCGAGGAGGAGGCUACCGAGAUUAAUACUUUUGGAUAGUGGACGUUACUCGCAGAAUAAGCACCGGCUAACUCUGUGCCAGCAGCCGCCGUAA
RNAcentral lists this ribosomal RNA (501 nucleotides) under uncultured bacterium. RNAcentral describes it as "partial 16S ribosomal RNA". It matches the Rfam family "Bacterial small subunit ribosomal RNA", at positions 30 to 523 of the family's 1533-position model. The record is from RNAcentral.